This 376-nucleotide ribosomal RNA is filed under the name Amuropaludina praerosa. RNAcentral describes it as "partial 16S rRNA". It matches the Rfam family "Bacterial large subunit ribosomal RNA", at positions 1965 to 2557 of the family's 2925-position model. Lineage: Eukaryota; Metazoa; Mollusca; Gastropoda; Architaenioglossa; Viviparidae. The record is from RNAcentral.
UCAAUUGUCUUAUAAUUGGAGACUGGAAUGAAUGGUUGAACGAAAUUGAAGCUGUCUCAUUUAUAUUAUUUAAAAAUUGGCUUUUAGAUGAAGAGAUUUAGAUUUUAUUAAUAGACAAGAAGACCCUAUUGAGCUUUAAAUAAUUUUGGGGUUAUAAUUAUCUUUAGAAAUUGAAGUCUUAAAUAUUUUUUAGUUGGGGCGACUAAGGAACAGCUAAAGCUUCCUAUAUAUUAUUGUAACUUAUAUGUUUUGAUCCAGUAUAAUCUGAUUGAAAGAGAUAGUUACCAUAGGGAUAACAGCAUAAUCUUCUUUGAGAGUUCAUAUCGAAAAGAGGGGUUGUGACCUCGAUGUUGGACUAAAAUAUCCUAAAAAUGUA